CCUACGGGUGGCAGCAGUGGGGAAUAUUGGGCAAUGGGCGCAAGCCUGACCCAGCAAAGCAGCGUGAAGGAAGAAGGCUUUCGGGUUGUAAACUUCUUUUCUCAGGGACGAAGCAAGUGCCGGUACCUGAGGAAUAAGCCACGGCUAACUACGUGCCAGCAGCCGCGGUAAUACGUAGGUGGCAAGAGUUAUCCGGAUUUACUGGGUGUAAAGGGCGUGUAGGCGGGACUGCAAGUCAGAUGUGAAAACCACGGGCUCAACCUUUGGCCUGCAUUUGAAACUGUAAGUCUUGAGUACUGGAGAGGCGGACGGAAUUCGUGGUGUAGCGGUGAAAUGCGUAGAUAUUAGGAGGAACACCAGUGGCGAAGGCGGUCUGCUGGACAGCAACUGACGCUGAGGCGCGAAAGCGUGGGUAGCAAACAGGAUUAGAUACCCGAGUAGUC
Molecule: ribosomal RNA, 443 nt
Filed under: uncultured bacterium
Lineage: Bacteria
Description: partial 16S ribosomal RNA
Rfam family: Bacterial small subunit ribosomal RNA
Source: RNAcentral